RNAcentral lists this ribosomal RNA (440 nucleotides) under uncultured bacterium. RNAcentral's name for it is "partial 16S ribosomal RNA". It matches the Rfam family "Bacterial small subunit ribosomal RNA", at positions 338 to 795 of the family's 1533-position model. The record is from RNAcentral.
CCUACGGGAGGCAGCAGUGGGGAAUAUUGCACAAUGGGGGAAACCCUGAUGCAGCGACGCCGCGUGAGUGAAGAAGGACUUCGGUAUGUAAAGCUCUAUCAGCAGGGGAGAAAAUGACGGUACCUGAGUAAGAAGCCCCGGCUAACUACGUGCCAGCAGCCGCGGUAAUACGUAGGGGGCAAGGGUUAUCCGGAUUUACUGGGUGUAAAGGGAGCGUAGACGGCAGUGCAAGUCUGGAGUGAAAGGCGGGGGCUCAACCCCCGGACUGCUCUUGAAACUGUACGGCUGGAGUGCAGGAGAGGUAAGUGGAAUUCCUAGUGUAGCGGUGAAAUGCGUAGAUAUUAGGAGGAACACCAGUGGCGAAGGCAGCUUACUGGACUGUAACUGACGUUGAGGCUCGAAAGCGUGGGGAGCAAACAGGAUUAGAUACCCCAGUAGUC